This 222-nucleotide long non-coding RNA is filed under the name Elaeis guineensis (African oil palm). RNAcentral's name for it is "long non-coding RNA (EGUI_LNC062521)". The record is from RNAcentral. Lineage: Eukaryota; Viridiplantae; Streptophyta; Magnoliopsida; Arecales; Arecaceae.
CUAUGACAAAUGCCUCCUAAAUUGGCGAGAACCCGACUUUAUGAAAAUACUUAUACUUUCUAGUUCGAUCAAAGGAUUAUCACCUCGGACAUAGGAAGUAAGAAGCCAAAUGUUUGUGCAUUAAACCAGCCUCAAGACAUGUGGCAUCAUUAUACGAGAUCAAAGGGAUGUCAAUCUAAAAGCAUCAGAUCCCAGCACACUAAUUUACCAGUUCAUAGAUUC